UCGUCAAUAGCUCAGAUGAUAGAGCACUCGUCUAUUUAACGAGAGGUCUCAAGUUCGAUUCUGGGUGGAGGCA
This is a non-coding RNA of Phlebotomus papatasi, 73 nucleotides long. The record is from Rfam. Lineage: Eukaryota; Metazoa; Arthropoda; Insecta; Diptera; Psychodidae.